CGCCUGGGGAGUACGGGUGAGGUAACGGCUCACCAAGGCAUCGACGGGUAGCUGGUCUGAGAGGAUGAUCAGCCACACUGGGACUGAGACACGGCCCAGACUCCUACGGGAGGCAGCAGUAGGGAAUAUUGCACAAUGGGCGAAAGCCUGAUGCAGCAACGCCGCGUGCGGGAAGAAGGCCCUAGGGUUGUAAACCGCUCUCAGCAGGGAAGAAAAUGACGGUACCUGCAGAAGAAGGUGCGGCCAACUACGUGCCAGCAGCCGCGGUGACACGUAGGCACCAAGCGUUGUCCGGAUUUAUUGGGCGUAAAGAGCUCGUAGGCGGUUCAGUUAGUCGGGUGUGAAAACUCUGGGCUCAACCCAGAGACGCCACUCGAUACUGCUGUGACUAGAGUGCGGUAGGGGAGCGGGGAAUUCCUAGUGUAGCGGUGAAAUGCGCAGAUAUUAGGAGGAACACCAGUGGCGAAGGCGCCGCUCUGGGCCGUAACUGACGCUGAGGAGCGAAAGCGUGGGUAGCAAACAGGAUUAGAUACCCUGGUAGUCCACGCCGUAAACGUUGGGCACUAGGUGUGGGUCUCAACCAACGAUAUCCGCGCCGUCGCUAACGCAUUAAGUGCCCCGCCUGGGGAGUACGG
RNAcentral lists this ribosomal RNA (635 nucleotides) under uncultured Actinomycetes bacterium. RNAcentral's name for it is "bacterial SSU rRNA". It matches the Rfam family "Bacterial small subunit ribosomal RNA", at positions 234 to 885 of the family's 1533-position model. The record is from RNAcentral. Lineage: Bacteria; Bacillati; Actinomycetota; Actinomycetes.